This 496-nucleotide ribosomal RNA is filed under the name uncultured bacterium. RNAcentral describes it as "partial 16S ribosomal RNA". It matches the Rfam family "Bacterial small subunit ribosomal RNA", at positions 28 to 506 of the family's 1533-position model. The record is from RNAcentral.
GAUGAACGCUGGCGGCGUGCCUAAUACAUGCAAGUCGAGCGAACGGACGAGAAGCUUGCUUCUCUGAUGUUAGCGGCGGACGGGUGAGUAACACGUGGAUAACCUACCUAUAAGACUGGGAUAACUUCGGGAAACCGGAGCUAAUACCGGAUAAUAUUUUGAACCGCAUGGUUCAAAAGUGAAAGACGGUCUUGCUGUCACUUAUAGAUGGAUCCGCGCUGCAUUAGCUAGUUGGUAAGGUAACGGCUUACCAAGGCAACGAUGCAUAGCCGACCUGAGAGGGUGAUCGGCCACACUGGAACUGAGACACGGUCCAGACUCCUACGGGAGGCAGCAGUAGGGAAUCUUCCGCAAUGGGCGAAAGCCUGACGGAGCAACGCCGCGUGAGUGAUGAAGGUCUUCGGACCGUAAAACUCUGUUAUUAGGGAAGAACAUAUGUGUAAGUAACUGUGCACAUCUUGACGGUACCUAAGCAGAAAGCCACGGCUAACUACGU